Long non-coding RNA from Bubalus bubalis (water buffalo), 1065 nucleotides. RefSeq lists it as uncharacterized. The record is from RefSeq and is a predicted model, not a curated record. The transcript has 2 exons. Lineage: Eukaryota; Metazoa; Chordata; Mammalia; Artiodactyla; Bovidae.
CAUAUUAUGUGAUCAAAAACAAAAUAAAAUUCAAAAAACAAAACAAAACAAUGAAUUUUUAAAAAAGAAGCCCCUGGUGCUGUGUAAAGUCCAUAUUCCUGGUCCCACUGCUGAGUACUCCAUGAAGCACCAGGUGAACUGUGCUUUCAAUAAGAGCCUCAGUGAUUCUCAAGCUCAGAGAAGUAGGGAAACCCUGGUUUAAGGCAGGUGACAGCUGAGAAAGAAUGAACCUUCCCUCACCUUGACCAAACCAUCAUCAGGUGAAGCUGAAUGGAAACCACCACCAUCAACAAGCAGGGGAAAAAACCUAUGCGAUUUCCUAGUGUUUUCCACAAGUACAUGACCCUUAACCACCAUAUAGCAAGGGUUUGUCACCAGGAUCUCCCUUAAAGAGCUUUCUCAGCACCCCCAGGAUCUUAUAUCAUUGGAUGAAUUGGGAGAAAACUAAGCUAAUGAGUGAAAUGGCCCUCCACAGAGUCCAUGUUGUUGUUAUCCAAUCAACAUCUGUCUCCUAUAAAAGAAACUCAAAGAGCUGUGUUGGAUGUUUCAUCUUGAAAGGAGUUUGACGUUUCUACUUGUUCAAGAGCUGCAUUGCAAGCCAGACAAGAUUCAUUAUGAUCUCAUCACCUCGAGUUUACGGUCAGUCAAACUGGUUUCCAAGAAUAACUCACAUCAAAUGUUCAUAUCAAUUAUACAAACAAUUCUUUUUGUUCUUUGCUGUAUUCAUCAUUUUGCUUUUUGGAAUUGCCAUGGCAACUUUCCCUCUGGAUCGCAAGACGUUACUCCUGGUAAUCACAAUAAUUAUUACUGCCAUCGUUUUUCUCAUCAUUACUGGAGUGCUCAUUUUUUAUGAAGUCUGCCGAAAGCUGGAGGAAUUUAUCCCUCCCCAAGUGGAAGAAUCAUGGAGGUAUAGAAUUGAACACAUUGAAAUUUAAGCUUCAGCAACAAGAUUCCAAUCGUCAGCACCUAUCAUCUUAUCUGAAAUCUGAACCUCCUUGGGACUUUGAACCUUUUUAGUCUUUUGAGCAUUUUAAAAGGAAUAAACAUUGACUUUUUAAAAGGUUA